Molecule: long non-coding RNA, 1041 nt
Organism: Oncorhynchus tshawytscha (Chinook salmon)
Lineage: Eukaryota; Metazoa; Chordata; Actinopteri; Salmoniformes; Salmonidae
Source: Ensembl
GGGGGCUGUACCGGGAUAUAGGUUAAUGAAUAUAGACUAGUGGAUAUAGGUUAAUGAAUAUAGACUAGUGGAGACUGGGGACUGUCCUGGGGGGGCUGUACCGGGAUAUAGAUUAGUGAAUAUAGACUAGGGGAGAUGAGGGGGCUGUCCUGGGGGGCUGUACCGGGAUAUAGGUUAUUGAAUAUAGACUAGUGGAGAUGAGGGGGCUGUCCUGGGGGGCUGUACCGGGAUAUAGUUUAAUGAAUAUAGACUAGUGUAUAUAGGUUAAUGAAUAUAGACUAGUGGAGAUGAGGGGGCUGUCCUGGGGUGCUGUACCGGGAUAUAGGUUAAUGAAUAUGGCCUAGGGAAGAUGAGUGGGCUGUCCUGGGGGCUGUACCGGGAUAUAGGUUAAUGAAUAUAGACUUGGGGAGAUGUGGGGGCUGUCCUGGGGGGCUGUACCGGGAUAUAGUUUAAUGAAUAUAGACUAGUGGAUAUAGGUUAAUGAAUAUAGACUAGUGGAGAUGAGGGGGCUGUCCUGGGGUGCUGUACCGGGAUAUAGGUUAAUGAAUAUAGACUAGGGGAGAUGAGUGGGCUGUCCUGGGGGGCUGUACCGGGAUAUAGGUUAGUGAAUAUAGACUAGUGGAGAUGAGGGGGCUGUCCUGGGGGGCUGUACCGGGAUAUAGGUUAGUGAAUAUAGACUAGUGGAGAUGAGGGGGCUGUCCUGGGGGCUGUUCCGGGAUAUAGGUUAAUGAAUAUAGACUAGUGGAAUAGAGGGGGCUGUCCUGGGGGCUGUACUGGGAUAUAGGUUAAUGAAUAUAGACUAGUGGAUAUAGGUUAAUGAAUAUAGCCUAGUGGAGAUGAGGGGGCUUUCCUGGGGGCUGUACCGGGAUAUAGGUUAAUGAAUAUAGACUAGGGGAGAUGAGGGGGCUGUCCUGGGGGCUGUACCAGGAUAUAGGUUAAUGAAUAUAGACUAAGGGAGAUGAGGGGGCUGUCCUGGGGGGCUGUACCGGGAUAUAGGUUAAUGAAUAUAGACUAGGGGAGAUGAGGGGGCUGUCCUGAGGG